Molecule: ribosomal RNA, 497 nt
Filed under: uncultured bacterium
Lineage: Bacteria
Description: partial 16S ribosomal RNA
Rfam family: Bacterial small subunit ribosomal RNA
Source: RNAcentral
GAUGAACGCUGGCGGCGUGCCUAAUACAUGCAAGUCGAGCGAACAGACGAGGAGCUUGCUCCUCUGACGUUAGCGGCGGACGGGUGAGUAACACGUGGAUAACCUACCUAUAAGACUGGGAUAACUUCGGGAAACCGGAGCUAAUACCGGAUAAUAUAUUGAACCGCAUGGUUCAAUAGUGAAAGACGGUUUUGCUGUCACUUAUAGAUGGAUCCGCGCUGCAUUAGCUAGUUGGUAAGGUAACGGCUUACCAAGGCGACGAUGCGUAGGCGACCUGAGAGGGUGGUCGGCCACAAUGGAACUGAGACGCGGUCCUGACUCCUACGGGAGGCAGCAGUAGAGGAUCUUCCGCAAUGGGCGAAAGCCUGACGGAGCAACUCCGCGUGAGUCAUGAGGGUCUUCGGAUCGUGAAACUCUGUUAUUAGGGAAGAACGAAUGUGUAAGUUACUAUGCACGUCUUGACGGUACCUAAUCAGAAGGCCACGGCUAACUACGUG